Molecule: long non-coding RNA, 2496 nt
Organism: Nymphaea colorata (pocket water lily)
Lineage: Eukaryota; Viridiplantae; Streptophyta; Magnoliopsida; Nymphaeales; Nymphaeaceae
Exons: 3
Source: RefSeq, a predicted model, not a curated record
ACCCCUUUUCUCUCCCGCGUGGAGUGUUUGAGCUGCUUAGGUGUGGCGCCAAAAGCUUGGCCAUCUGGAAAAGAAGAACGACUGCAGGACCAGAGGAGAGGAACCAGGAACUCUACCAGAAAUGCAGGCGAUGGAUCUUGAGCAGAUGUGCGAUUCCGACCAAGGUGCAGAUGUCUUCCAUCACUGGGACAUCUAGAGGCCAGGGCAGAGGACUAUGAGCUUGGUGGAGGAGCGUGGACGCCGAUCACCGAGAGCCUCUCAGAUCUGCUGCAUGACAGCCAGAGGAACAUCUUCAGCCGGUAAGAAUCCUAACUCCGUGGAGAUUCUACCGCGAGAUCUUCCUGUUACCCGAUCAGAAGUGGAGAGGAUGCUGACGUUCUGAUUGAUUUGAGUUUAACUCAUCUAACGAGAGGAAUAGAUCGGUCUGAUCUGACUGAGAUCGAAGGAUCUGAAGAAGAAAUGAAGUGCUGACGAGAUAGGGCGAGCACAAUCCCUGUUUUAGGUGGAUCCCCUAACGAACAACUUAGAUCGACUUUAAUUCUUGUUGAGAUCAGUUCUUCUGUCGCAUUCUGUAUCUAAUUGUUGUGGAUUACUUGCGACGAGCAACGAAGUGAAAUCUGUUGAGGAAUUGGAUGAUUGAAGACGAAGAAUAGAGGAUGAAUUCUGUAAAGGCACAGUGACAGAAAUUUCUGUUAAUCUGUGAAUUCCCGACGAUCCGAGCAAGAUCUGAAUUCGAGAAUAGCUCAGUUGUCUUCGUUACUAAUGGAGGAACAUUUUGAUGAAGUUUGAGGAGAAUCCACGCUAUUUUGGAUAGUUCGCCGGAGCUGAUCGGAAGCACGGCGGUGGAUCGCGGAAUUAGGUGGCGCAGUUCUGAGCGACAUCAGAAACUAGGCUGAUUUUAAUCCUCAAGGACUCACCUUUUGGCAGCUGCUUUGAAGCUGAAUUUUUGGGUGUUCGUUCAUCAGUAUCUUAGCAAUCACUGGUCCAAAUUUCAGCACAAUCCAAGUGACGGUUGAAUUUUGGCGAAUUUUUGAAGGUGAUUGACUCUAGACGUUGCCUGAGCCCUGCGACAGGCAAUUUCAGGCAGAAUCAGGCGCAUCUUUGGGCUCAACGAGUCAGCAACUGAAAACGAAUUUGGAGCUGGUUUUUCGAACGUCUAACCCUCAAGUACUUAGCUUCAUUCAGACCAAUUUUCACGAUUUUAGAAGCUUUGGAUGAGAAGAUAUGAAUUUUUGAAGGAGAUUGUCUUGUGAACUGAGCUUGAGCAUCUGAGGCAAGCUGUUUCAGGCAGAAAUAGGCACAACUUUCAGUUCAACGAGUUAGCUGUUGGAAGUGACUUUGGAGCUGGGUUUUGGAGCGUCUAUUCCUCCAUAUUUAAACUUCCUCCAGACCAAUUUUCAUGAAUUUAGGAGAUCUGGACGAGGAGAUAUGAUUUUUUGAAAGAGCACGGUUAUGGAAGCUGGCUUCACACCUGCAAGAGGGAUUCUCGCCAGUUUUCCCAAUUUCUAUCUUAGAUUUGGGUGAAACCAGAGAUCUGCAUCAGAUCCAUUGCUGUAAGCCGCCGCUGCAACCUGUUCCCGAGAUGGACCUGCAUUUCUGAAGAGCGCGCUGCCGGCACUGAACGGGGCACAUGUUUUUCCCUAAUUCAUCACUUAACAGGGAUUCAAUCGAUCCUUGAACCGAACAAGCGAGAAGAGACUGAUCAGCAGGAAGACGUGAGCUACUGUGGAGCUGAUCAUUGAAGGGACGAGCGCUGGCAUCUAUCCAGCGUCUGCUACCCCCUAGUUCACCCCAAAACAUGGGUUCCUAUAUGGGGAAGAGCAGAACUUGCUAGUUUCCUGUACUUCUGAUUUGAUGCGACUGUGAUCUGUUGUAUUCCCUUGCGAGCUGAGGUGCUUCGGAGAGGAGGACUCAGCUGGAGAUCACCAUCUUACUGUGCGCAAGAUCUGAGCCUGUGGAGAAGUGCUGAGUACUGAGGAUUGUAUUGGUCUUCUUCCUUGGUGAGUGUUGGACUAGCUCCAGCAAGGUACAUCCAAACCCCCCUAUAGUUGCGUGGAAGGGUGCAUUCUAUUUCCAGCCAACCUUUGGGUUUGCAGUUGUAGGGAAUCCUCUAAAGCUCGUUUAGCCGAGGACACAUUCCCAAGCUGCUGGACUUACCUAGGGCGAAGGGUGUGGAUUGCUCGUCUUAGGGAUUGCAUGAAUGGUUUGGCUUGGAUGAAUGAUUGAUGAAUGAGGGAGAGUUCAAAUUUGUAUCGAGAACGCUUGUAAAGCCUCACAUGCCCACUCCUGAUUGUAGUAGGUUGAAAAUUUGGAAGGGACAUUCCACUUGUAUAUCAAUCCUAAGGGAUAUAUUCAGUCGGGGUUGUGUCCGACUUGGGAUCAAAUUUUGUAUUCCCUAUUCUUUUAACCUCCCUCGGCGUGUUAGUCCCCAAUAGAUCUUGGGAAGCAACUGCAUCUUGGUGAGAUUUGAGCAGCUACAAGGGCAGGGCGCAUCAG